Molecule: ribosomal RNA, 461 nt
Filed under: uncultured bacterium
Lineage: Bacteria
Description: partial 16S ribosomal RNA
Rfam family: Bacterial small subunit ribosomal RNA
Source: RNAcentral
ACGAACGCUGGCGGCGUGCUUAACACCUGCAAGUCGAACGGAAAGGCCCUUCGGGGUACUCGAGUGGCGAACGGGUGAGUAACACGUGGGUGAUCUGCCCUGCACUUUGGGAUAAGCCUGGGAAACUGGGUCUAAUACCGAAUAGGACCACGCGCUUCAUGGUGUGUGGUGGAAAGCUUUUGCGGUGUGGGAUGGGCCCGCGGCCUAUCAGCUUGUUGGUGGGGUAAUGGCCUACCAAGGCGACGACGGGUAGCCGGCCUGAGAGGGUGACCGGCCACACUGGGACUGAGAUACGGCCCAGACUCCUACGGGAGGCAGCAGUGGGGAAUAUUGCACAAUGGGCGCAAGCCUGAUGCAGCGACGCCGCGUGAGGGAUGACGGCCUUCGGGUUGUAAACCUCUUUCAAUAGGGACGAAGCGCAAGUGACGGUACCUAUAGAAGAAGCACCGGCCAACUACGUG